Molecule: ribosomal RNA, 221 nt
Filed under: uncultured bacterium
Lineage: Bacteria
Description: partial 16S ribosomal RNA
Rfam family: Bacterial small subunit ribosomal RNA
Source: RNAcentral
UGAGGAACAUGACCUUCGGCGGGGGAUAGCCGGCCCAACGGCCGGGUAAUACCGCGUACGACCACAUGGGGACAUCCCUGAGUGGUGAAAGCAGCAAUGCGCCGAUGGAGUGCCUCGCGGCCUAUCAGCUAGUUGGUGAGGUAACGGCUCACCAAGGCAACGACGGGUAGCUGGUCUGAGAGGAUGGCCAGCCACAUUGGGACUGAGACACGGCCCAGACU